Molecule: ribosomal RNA, 251 nt
Filed under: uncultured prokaryote
Description: partial 16S rRNA
Rfam family: Bacterial small subunit ribosomal RNA
Source: RNAcentral
ACAGAGGAGGCAAGCGUUGUUCGGAAUCACUGGGCUUAAAGCGGGUGUAGGCGGCUGCGCAAGUGUUUUGUGAAAUCCCACGGCUCAACCGUGGAACCGCAGGGCAAACUGCGCGGCUUGAGGUCGGUAGAGGUGCCUGGAACUCUAGGUGGAGCGGUGAAAUGCGUAGAUAUCUAGAGGAACGCCAGAGGCGAAAGCGAGGCACUGGGCCGAUUCUGACGCUGAGACCCGAAAGCGUGGGUAGCAAACUG